Molecule: ribosomal RNA, 492 nt
Filed under: uncultured bacterium
Lineage: Bacteria
Description: partial 16S ribosomal RNA
Rfam family: Bacterial small subunit ribosomal RNA
Source: RNAcentral
AGUGAACGCUGGCGGUAGGCCUAACACAUGCAAGUCGAACGGCAGCACAGUAAGAGCUUGCUCUUACGGGUGGCGAGUGGCGGACGGGUGAGUAAUACAUCGGAAUCUACUUUUUCGUGGGGGAUAACGUAGGGAAACUUACGCUAAUACCGCAUACGACCUACGGGUGAAAGCAGGGGAUCUUCGGACCUUGCGCGAUUGAAUGAGCCGAUGUCGGAUUAGCUAGUUGGCGGGGUAAAGGCCCACCAAGGCGACGAUCCGUAGCUGGUCUGAGAGGAUGAUCAGCAACACGGGAACGGAGACACGGUCCAGAAUCCUACGGGAGGCAGCAGUGGGGAAUAUUGGACAAUGGGCGCAAGCAUGAUCCAGCCAUACCGCGUGGGUGAAGAAGGCCUUCGGGUUGUAAAGCCCUUUUGUUGGGAAAGAAAAGCAGCAGGUUAAUACCCCGCUGUUAUGACGGUACCCAAAGAAUAAGCACCGGCUAACUUCGUG